ACCCGGAAAACCGCCAGAGAGACGUAGAGAGAGAGAGAGAGAGAGAGAGAGAGAAAGAGGCACAGGUUGGGAAUUUCGGAAGUGUAGAUGGAGAAGAAGAUUUUGAUUAUGGGAUUGUUUUUCUUGUUAAGGAAUUUUGUUAUUUUCUUGGGAAAAAUACAAAAAUAUUAAGCUUUCUUACACGGAAUUUAAUCAUUUCAUCAUAAGCUUUCUGUUUCUUCUUCCUCUUCCAAGUCUUCGUUCUUCCUUCCUUUCCUUGUUCAUAUCCUUGUAUGAGAAAUCGAAAUGACUAAUAGGGUUUUAGCUUCAGCUUCCUCAACAUUUUUUCUUGCUUAUUUCAUCCUAUGAUGCUCAAAACCUUGAAGAAUGGGUGUCAAAAAAGAAAAUUAUACUGCAAAUGUACCACUCUGCCACCUUGUUUCUUCUCUCUCCCUCCACUUUCUGCUACUUACUACUCAUGAGUUCUGCUAGUCUGUUUAAAAAUUUGGUUGCUUGCUGAAAUAUAUAUAAUGGGUUUGUUCCCAAUUCAGUUUUUCUUUUGAAUAUUUAAUGUGGAAAAAAAAAUAAAAAUGAGAAGAAUUAAUUUCCAAGUUUUACUCUUAAUAAUUAAGAACCCAUCAUUUGGUUGGAAAAUUCUCACUAUUUCAAUGCGAAUUGUUUUGUGUCUUUGUUUUUUUCAUUGUUAUAUAAUUUGGUUCAUUGCAAAUCAUCUGAAUUGAUGAUCGAUGAAUUAUUAUAUAUUUUUGUUUCCAUACUAAGUAAAUAUAAGUUCUGAAGCAGAGUUGGAUGUAAGCAAGUGGAGUGUUGAGUUUUGAGGGAUAUGGAAAGCUGGGAGAGGGCUAAAAGCUUGAUCUCUAAUAUGAUUAUCUUCUCCUAAUUAUCCAUUUCUUCAAAAAAUAAUUUUAUAGGAGGCCAUGGAAGAAGGACCUAAGCUACUGAUAUACCAUAUGCAUCUCAGACUGGAAAUGUAUUGGACAUGGCAAAACAAGUUGGCCGUGAAGCUGAGCGCAGAGGCUGCCCUGUCAAGCUUCUAUCUUCUGCAGAGAAAUCAGCAUUGGUAAGAAGGAGCACAUUAUGCUGUGUUUGGUCUCAGUGAUUCCGGUUACCAGAAAUUUAAUCUUGUUGCGAAGAAUCUUGACUGAAGACUUUAGUAUCUUGGGGCAACUGCCAUAGUUGAAAGAGGUUUAGGAAAUGACCAACACCAAAUCAGGGUAUGGCUACAGUACACCAUAGCUGUAUUGGAGCAUUUUCCUUAGUUCAAAUGCCGUUUGAAUGGCUGGUACAAUUGGUUCCUUCUUUGAAAACCAGAGCAUUUUCCAUAUCUUCCUCUCUUUCAGCUCACCCAAAUCAAGUGCACUUAAAACUGUAAAUGUAGUAUCAUUGACAACACCUUAUAAAAGGACACGAUUGGGGUCUCUGCUGAACAUGGCUAAGCCAGCUCGAUCCUGAGGAAUGUAUGGCAUAAAAUACGAUUUUUUAAGGCCCAUUGUUGAUAAGCAACCAAAUGAAUCACCCAUUAAUGCCAUAUUAUUUUGUUUCUGUCAUGAUCAGGCACUCAUAUUCCAAUAUGGUUUCAUAAAGAUUCCCCUCCACCGUCACCUACAUCUCUUCCUCUCAUUCUCAUUGGACCUGGAACUAGUUGUGCACCUUUCCAUGGAUUUGUGGAGGAAAGAUCCAUCCAAAGUGCGACCGAUACAAACGACUUUUUUAUAGAAAGAUUUUUGGUUGUCUCAUUCACAAAAUGAUGGGGUACUAUCAGAAGCAGAAGGGGGAGAGGCUUUUACGUGGCAUUCUCAAGAAACCAGCAACAGAAGGUAUAUGUGCAGCAUAAGAUGAAAGAAUACAGCCGGAGGCUAUGGAAUUUGUUGAACCAGGGAGCUGCAGUCUAUGUUGCCUGUUCUUCAGCCCAAAUGCCCUCAGAUGUAUCAUCAGCCUUUAAAGAUAUUGUUAGAUGGCUUAGGGCACUGCAUAAGGCUGCUAAGUAGUUUGUAGAAGCAUGGACUUGACCUCUGGUUGAAUCUUCAAUAUCAUCUAGAUAGAAAAUAGGCAAGCUUCUGGCUGAAAAUUCUAAGAAUGGAUUUACAGCACUGAGCUAGAAGGCGAAAAUACUUUUGGUUAUGUAUUAUUUUGGUGAAUGUAGAGUCCUUAAGAAGAAAAAUUGAGGAAUAUAAUAUUAAACGACUCUUACAAUUUUUUAGAUUUUUGGAAACAUUUGACGGAAACACACUAACAAUU
Molecule: long non-coding RNA, 2235 nt
Organism: Ziziphus jujuba (common jujube)
Lineage: Eukaryota; Viridiplantae; Streptophyta; Magnoliopsida; Rosales; Rhamnaceae
Exons: 3
Source: RefSeq, a predicted model, not a curated record